CCUACGGGCGGCAGCAGUGGGGAAUAUUGGACAAUGGGGGCAACCCUGAUCCAGCCAUGCCGCGUGUGUGAAGAAGGCCCUCGGGUUGUAAAGCACUUUCAGUGAGGAAGAACGCCUGGUGGUUAAUACCCAUCAGGAAAGGCAUCACUCACAGAAGAAGCACCGGCUAACUCCGUGCCAGCAGCCGCGGUAAUACGGAGGGUGCGAGCGUUAAUCGGAAUUACUGGGCGUAAAGCGCGCGUAGGUGGCUUGAUAAGCCGGUUGUGAAAGCCCCGGGCUCAACCUGGGAACGGCAUCCGGAACUGUCAAGCUAGAGUGCAGGAGAGGAAGGUAGAAUUCCCGGUGUAGCGGUGAAAUGCGUAGAGAUCGGGAGGAAUACCAGUGGCGAAGGCGGCCUUCUGGACUGACACUGACACUGAGGUGCGAAAGCGUGGGUAGCAAACAGGAUUAGAUACCCUAGUAGUC
Molecule: ribosomal RNA, 465 nt
Filed under: Vreelandella stevensii
Lineage: Bacteria; Pseudomonadati; Pseudomonadota; Gammaproteobacteria; Oceanospirillales; Halomonadaceae
Description: partial 16S ribosomal RNA
Rfam family: Bacterial small subunit ribosomal RNA
Source: RNAcentral